UACUCAUAGUCCAAAGUUUCCCUCAUAAAGA
This 31-nucleotide non-coding RNA is filed under the name Rattus norvegicus (Norway rat). The record is from RNAcentral. Lineage: Eukaryota; Metazoa; Chordata; Mammalia; Rodentia; Muridae.